AUCCUCUCCCAGAGGGAGAGGAGGGACCCGCCGCGGAGCGGUGGGAGGUGAGGGGUUUCGUCGGCCGACGCCUUACCCCCUCUCCCUCCCGCGCUUUCAGCGC
RNAcentral lists this small RNA (103 nucleotides) under Caulobacter vibrioides NA1000. Its description in RNAcentral is "small non-coding RNA". Lineage: Bacteria; Pseudomonadati; Pseudomonadota; Alphaproteobacteria; Caulobacterales; Caulobacteraceae. The record is from RNAcentral.